UUCUGAUCCUGGCUCAGACUCAGUCGUAACAAGGUAGCCGUAGAGUUUGAUCCUGGUGUCAUACUGUCUGGGAAACUGCGUGAUGGAAGAGGAUAACUACUGGAAACGGUAGCUAAUACCGCAUAAUGUCGCAAGACCAAAGUGGGGGACCUUCGGGCCUCAUGCCAUCAGAUGUGCCCAGAUGGGAUUAGCUAGUAGGUGGGGUAACGGCUCACCUAGGCGACGAUCCCUAGCUGGUCUGAGAGGAUGACCAGCCACACUGGAACUGAGACACGGUCCAGACUCCUACGGGAGGCAGCAGUGGGGAAUAUUGCACAAUGGGCGCAAGCCUGAUGCAGCCAUGCCGCGUGUGUGAAGAAGGCCUUCGGGUUGUAAAGCACUUUCAGCGGGGAGGAAGGCGAUAAGGUUAAUAACCUUGGCGAUUGACGUUACCCGCAGAAGAAGCACCGGCUAACUCCGUGCCAGCAGCCGCGGUAAUACGGAGGGUGCAAGCGUUAAUCGGAAUUACUGGGCGUAAAGCGCACGCAGGCGGUCUGUCAAGUCGGAUGUGAAAUCCCCGGGCUCAACCUGGGAACUGCAUUCGAAACUGGCAGGCUAGAGUCUUGUAGAGGGGGGUAGAAUUCCAGGUGUAGCGGUGAAAUGCGUAGAGAUCUGGAGGAAUACCGGUGGCGAAGGCGGCCCCCUGGACAAAGACUGACGCUCAGGUGCGAAAGCGUGGGGAGCAAACAGGAUUAGAUACCCUGGUAGUCCACGCCGUAAACGAUGUCGAUUUGGAGGUUGUGCCCUUGAGGCGUGGCUUCCGGAGCUAACGCGUUAAAUCGACCGCCUGGGGAGUACGGCCGCAAGGUUAAAACUCAAAUGAAUUGACGGGGGCCCGCACAAGCGGUGGAGCAUGUGGUUUAAUUCGAUGCAACGCGAAGAACCUUACCUGGUCUUGACUUCACAGAACUUUCCGAAAUGGAUUGGUGCCUUCGGAACUGUGAAACAGUGCUGCUGGCUGCCCCAACUCCGGUUUGAAAUGUUGGUUAAUUC
Molecule: ribosomal RNA, 1032 nt
Filed under: Klebsiella pneumoniae
Lineage: Bacteria; Pseudomonadati; Pseudomonadota; Gammaproteobacteria; Enterobacterales; Enterobacteriaceae
Description: bacterial SSU rRNA
Rfam family: Bacterial small subunit ribosomal RNA
Source: RNAcentral